ACUCCUACGGGAGGCAGCAGUGGGGAAUAUUGGACAAUGGGGGGAACCCUGAUCCAGCCAUGCCGCGUGUGUGAAGAAGGCCUUAUGGUUGUAAAGCACUUUAAGCGAGGAGGAGGCUACUGAGACUAAUACUCUUGGAUGGUGGACGUUACUCGCAGAAUAAGCACCGGCUAACUCUGUGCCAGCAGCCGCGGUAAUACAGAGGGUGCGAGCGUUAAUCGGAUUUACUGGGCGUAAAGCGUGCGUAGGCGGCUUUUAAGUCGGAUGUGAAAUCCCCGAGCUUAACUUGGGAAUUGCAUUCGAUACUGGGAAGCUAGAGUAUGGAGAGGAUGGUAGAAUUCCAGGUGUAGCGGUGAAAUGCGUAGAGAUCUGGAGGAAUACCGAUGGCGAAGGCAGCCAUCUGGCCUAAUACUGACGCUGAGGUACGAAAGCAUGGGAGCAAACAGGAUUAGAUACCCCUGGUAGCGACUGA
RNAcentral lists this ribosomal RNA (472 nucleotides) under uncultured bacterium. Its description in RNAcentral is "bacterial SSU rRNA". It matches the Rfam family "Bacterial small subunit ribosomal RNA", at positions 335 to 803 of the family's 1533-position model. The record is from RNAcentral.